Molecule: long non-coding RNA, 280 nt
Filed under: Homo sapiens (human)
Lineage: Eukaryota; Metazoa; Chordata; Mammalia; Primates; Hominidae
Description: non-protein coding lnc-PTPRS-1:1
Source: RNAcentral
GUAGAUGUGGCUGGUGACGGAGGAGAUGAACUUGGCCUUGUAGAGGUUGCCGUCAGUCCACCGGAGCUCCACCAGCUCCCCCUCGGAAGGGGGUCCCAGCUGGACACAGUCCCUACUCGUGAUGCUCUCAGGGUACAGGUUGUCGCUGUAGGAGCCAUCGUCGAAGUUCACUUCGUAGCAGGUCUGCGAGGCGGCACCGAUGACGCGACAGCGGUAGUACAGCCCGUUGCGGUUCUUGGUGAUGACCACCUGGCCUAGGGACACGGCCCUCAGGAGUUGG